UGCGGUUGCGGGCGGUACCGGUUA
This 24-nucleotide non-coding RNA is filed under the name Arabidopsis thaliana (thale cress). Lineage: Eukaryota; Viridiplantae; Streptophyta; Magnoliopsida; Brassicales; Brassicaceae. The record is from RNAcentral.